This 72-nucleotide transfer RNA is filed under the name Danionella translucida. It matches the Rfam family "tRNA". From Rfam's summary of the family: Transfer RNA (tRNA) molecules are approximately 80 nucleotides in length. Lineage: Eukaryota; Metazoa; Chordata; Actinopteri; Cypriniformes; Danionidae. RNAcentral also lists the same sequence under 1 other name. The record is from Rfam by way of RNAcentral.
GGCUCGUUGGUCUAGGGGUAUGAUUCUCACUUUGAAUGCGAGAGGUCCCGGGUUCAAAUCCUGGACGAGCCC